AUGUAAAAUGACUUUCGGCAACGGAUAUCUCGGCUCUUGCAUCGAUGAAGAACGUAGCGAAAUGCGAUACUUGGUGUGAAUUGCAGAAUCCCGUGAACCAUCGAGUCUUUGAACGCAAGUUGCGCCCAAAGCCAUUAGGCUGAGGGCACGCCUGCCUGGGUGUCACAC
RNAcentral lists this ribosomal RNA (168 nucleotides) under Phaseolus vulgaris (common bean). Its description in RNAcentral is "5.8S ribosomal RNA". It matches the Rfam family "5.8S ribosomal RNA". Rfam says of the family: 5.8S ribosomal RNA (5.8S rRNA) is a component of the large subunit of the eukaryotic ribosome. It is transcribed by RNA polymerase I as part of the 45S precursor that also contains 18S and 28S rRNA. Lineage: Eukaryota; Viridiplantae; Streptophyta; Magnoliopsida; Fabales; Fabaceae. The record is from RNAcentral.